This 468-nucleotide ribosomal RNA is filed under the name uncultured bacterium. Its description in RNAcentral is "partial 16S ribosomal RNA". It matches the Rfam family "Bacterial small subunit ribosomal RNA", at positions 28 to 507 of the family's 1533-position model. The record is from RNAcentral.
GACGAACGCUGGCGGCGUGCUUAACACAUGCAAGUCGAACGGAAAGGCCCUGCUUUUGUGGGGUGCUCGAGUGGCGAACGGGUGAGUAACACGUGAGUAACCUGCCCUUGACUUUGGGAUAACUUCAGGAAACUGGGGCUAAUACCGGAUAGGAGCUCCUGCUGCAUGGUGGGGGUUGGAAAGUUUCGGCGGUUGGGGAUGGACUCGCGGCUUAUCAGCUUGUUGGUGGGGUAGUGGCUUACCCAGGCUUUGACGGGUAGCCGGCCUGAGAGGGUGACCGGCGACAUUGGGACUGAGAGACGGCCCAGACUCCUACGGGAGGCAGCAGGGGGGAAUAUUGCACAAUGGGCGGAAGCCUGAUGCAGCAACGCCGCGUGCGGGAUGACGGCCUUCGGGUUGUAAACCGCUUUCGCCUGUGACGAAGCGUGAGUGACGGUAAUGGGUAAAGAAGCACCGGCUAACUACGUG